Molecule: long non-coding RNA, 32828 nt
Filed under: Malus domestica (apple)
Lineage: Eukaryota; Viridiplantae; Streptophyta; Magnoliopsida; Rosales; Rosaceae
Description: long non-coding RNA (MDOM_LNC016045)
Source: RNAcentral
AAGCAUAAAAGUUCAAGAGUGCAUAAGAAAUCUUACAACUUUUACAGUAGCAGGAGGCACAUUUCCAACAGAAAUUGGUUGCCGAUUCAUAACAGGUCCAUUCACUAAUUUGAAAAAGAGGAAAGAAAAAGAAAGGACAAGUUAGCAAACAAGCAGGAUAACCAAGAAUUAACCAUGAAAAAUUAUGAACAGCCUAACCAUAACAAACUUAAGUGAUUAAUUCAAGCAAGACAGCCUAUUAUACUAAGAUUUGUAAUUCAAACCUUACUAUGUUCAUUUGAGGGGUAUGACGAGACAAUUACUCUUAUAAAAGAUAAAAUAGAAAUUGCGACUACACCUUAUUGACACUGAAACAUUGAUAAUUUCAACAAAAAAAAAGUCAAAUAGAUAAGUGAAACCGAAUCAUUAAGUACUUUCAUUAACAGAAAAAAAAAAAAAAAAAAACCAAAUAUUUUGCAGUGGAAAAAGGGACAACAUAUUGACUGCAAAACCAACCAGAGGGCAUAGAAGUUGGAGGCGGCCCAGUAACUGAAGCAACAGGAGCUAUGUCCAUUUUUACAGGACUCUGAUUUGAGGGCAAAGUUGUAAUUCCUGGACGACUUAAAGUAGCACGGGCCUCCAUAAAAUUCUCUGAGAUUAAAACAAGAAAGCGGGGAUUUUUCGCAUUAUCAAUUGGUGGAUCUGCCGCUCUAGGGUUGCGCUUUCCCUGCAUUGGCAAAGUGCUCACUAUCACACCAACUUCUUCUAGUGAUCUUAAGCCAUAGGAAAUAAAAUAUUCAGUCUGGCAAUAAUACUAUCACCUCCCUUUUGUAUUGUCGAACAUUCUUUGCAGCUUUAUUAAUAUAAUUAGACAGUGGUUCCAUGCAUAUGAAUACCAGAAAAAACUAUAUUUUUUGUUCAAGACAGUCUAAGUGGUUGAUUUUAGAAUUCAACAACAUAAAGGGUUAAAGCUCAACAGAGCACCAAGGAAAAUAAAGGAAGUUACUUUAAUGUUGAUUUAGCAAGAUAUACAAAAGGUCAAAAGCUUAAUACAUACAUACAUACAUACAUACAUACAUACAUACAUACAUAUAUAUAUAUAUAUAUAUAUAUUAUAUAUAAUAUUUAAGGAUAAGAGAUAAGAGAUGGAACAUACCGCAUUGUAUAUUGCUCUGAGCUCAGGUAGCUGUAUUGGACAAAUGACUGACAGUGAAACAGAGCUCUGGAUGAAAAAGUAAGGGCUCAUUACUGAUAAUUUUCAACCUUCACGAGGAACCCAUCACAAGGAAAGGAACAGACAUCAUUAAAAUGGGAAUAAACAAAAACACUACCUGUGGAAAUGAUUUAGCAACAGCCUCAGCAUCAUAAAGACGAUUUUCUGUUUGUGCAUCAAUAUUUUCAUUUUGCUCCAAAUUUUGAAUUUGUGGCCGAUACACUGGUGUGGGCAGAGGGUGAGGUUUACUUGCAGCAAUAAGAACACAAUGCUUCUGACAAUCCACAUUUUGUUGAUUUUGGCUUCCAUUUUGAACUGUAGGGAACAUCUGUGUUUUACAUCAGAAGAAUAGUAAAUGUUAAGUUUAACAUGCGACUAAGAAAUGCAUUUGAACUCAAAAGUACUUAGACGGCUUUGAACAGCAUACCAUUAGAGCUUCCGAAAGCCCUUCCGCAAUUGCAGCAUCACUAAAACCACCCCCAGAAAAGGGUAUAGCUGAAAGCCUAUGUAAGAAGAGAUCCACAUCCCUUGUCCAGCCACUCCGUUGUACCAGGCAACCUUGAUGAAAGGUUGUACAAUUAUUUCAAAAUAUUCAUAUAUAUAUAUAUAUAUAUAUAUAUAUUGAGCAAAUGCCAGUUACAGUAAUGACAUGGAAUGCCUACAUAUCAUCUUGGUGAAUUGGGUUCAUAAGAAACAAGGUGUGAUACUAGUUAAGUGGUAAUUUACCAGGAAAAAAAAAAAAACUUCCAUUUCCAGCCAUAAGUUGUCCUACUAAGGGGAACUGGAAACGUAUAACUUAAUGUAGCUCGCUGUAUUUCCACAUAAAGUUCGCAAAACAAGUUUUUCAGACUUCCAGGUGGUGUUAUGUACAAAGAGCCACUACGUUACAAUAAAGUCUACUAAUUUUAGAAUUUAACUUAAAGCUAGUAAAAAUCCACCACUUCAAAGGGAAUAAUUCCACAAAGCAUGUUAAAAUCACCAAGAAAUCAUUUGCAAACCUUGAACAACAUCCACCUUAACUUUCAAACAAUUAUUUGACUUAGUAUAAGAUUGAACCCUGUUUACAAAGAACUAUUUGACUUAGUGUAAGAUUGAAUCCUGUUAGUAGGAGGAUGGAGGACUAGCAAGUCUUCCCCUACAAAAAGUAAAAUUCCUGAAGAAUUUGUAGUCAACCUCGUACUGCAAUAAUAAAUUAACAACACAAGUCAUACAUCCGAAAACUAGGAAUAAGAAGAACAAAAUUACAUACCACAAUAAGAUCCAUGAGUAUUGAACGUGACCAGGGAGAGCUCAACAGUAGAAGUCGACAGCUUCUGCAUCUCAAAAGCCAAAUUACAUAAUAAGAAAAAGACUACCAAGCUAGAAGUCUUACAGACGGAACUAAUAAUGUUGUUGCCAGUGAAACGUAAGAAUGGUUGUCUAUGGUUUGAUAAUAGUUGAUGUAGUGUACACAAAUGGUAAUCAAAUUAUUACAUGCAUGCUAUUAACAUCUAGUCAAAGAAGGCACAACCACCUACACGAAAACAUGUUUAAAUAUGUAAUGAACAAUUAACAGUUCGGACAAAUGACUUCUGAUGGAUAAUGAUAAACCUAAAGUAAUGGAAAAGGGACAUACCUGCCCACUUGGCUCGUUUCCACAGAAACUCCUGCAGGAAAAAGAUAAAUCAGAUGUGACUUAUUUAUAGAGUAGUGCAUAAAAUCCCAUGCAUGUUAAUGAAAAAUCAAUGACAAACUUCAUAUUUGGUUCUAUGUACAGGAAUGUAUUAGAUGAAGAUUGUUAAUAUUCCAAGUAUGAACUUUUGCUGAAGUUGUUAUAGCUAGGCACUUAUUAACUUUUAGAAUUCUCCAGGACACUAUAAAAAUUUCAUGUGCAAUGAAAUGAAACUGUAAAUGGGAAAUCAUGAUAAAACCUCAUCUUUUAUACUAUACUUGGGGGAGUUAAUUAAACCCCAGGAGAAAUAUAUGAUUCAACAGGACAAAUUCAUGAGAACUUACCUUGUAACCUACAUCAUAAGUAGAAACCAGAAAGUAACGUGUGAAAUCAAAGCCGGUCAUAGACAAGGAGGGAGAAAGAACAGAAGCUAGCUACAACACAGCACAAAGGAAGAAAGAUAGAAAAAUUACUAAGAACUUAAUCGCGAACCUUACGAUCUUCUCUAAAUAAUCUUUAAAAAUGAGUUCCCAGAAGGGACCCAUGGCUGCAGUCCCUUCAACAGUGAUGAUCAGUUGUUUCUCAGCCAUUAAGGUUUUCUCUGUGAUAGGAUUGGGGAUCUACUUUUAAAGAUCACAUUGACGACCUCGGGCAUAUCUAUUAGUCUCAUUGAUGAGCACGUAUGUACGUUUUUCUCUAGUUAUUGACACGUCUGCACGAAACUCUGUAAGGUAAAAACUAACCAUCCACCAUCGACCACGUAACCUAUACGUUACUGAUUAUAGUAUUACAAUAACAAAAAUAAUAUUAAGAAUUUAAAUAAUUAAUAAUAAUGUGUAAAAAUACACUUCAGACAUCGUAGUAUAGAGAAUGCUCACUCCAAUAAGCUGGAGCAUGAUACUCUGCUUCAAGAUGUCUAAGGAGUUAUCCACUCUCUCCUUUGCUUGACCACCGGAGGAAAACCAAUUAUUCAAUGUCAAACCCAAAACGUAAAUAUGACAGAUUUAGCCUAUAAGUACUGUAUUUGUUCCUAAAGCAGAAGGUUCUGUAAUAAGUUAAUAGCAAACACGGGAUAAUAACUGAAAGUUACCUCAUUAAAAUCGCUUGUAUUGUCUGCAUAAUUUGGAAGGAAGUUAAUCUUGAUACAUGGAAUGUAUCUAUCUGACCAAUUAUAGGACUUAUUUUCCAUCACAUGCCAACAAGCAACAAAUCAUCGCAUGGAGCUCAUCACCGCGGAUAGCUUCUAACAAAACUGACGAGAACUAACUAAUUAUUUAUAAAUCAAUCAAAAUCCAGUUUCCAUCAGGAUUAUAUGAAAUAAAACUUUGUACAUAGUAGAAAUAUAGCAAGGCUGCCUACGGUUUCACGGUACGAGGGUACAGAAAAAUCGGACCUUUCUACAACUACAACACACUAAACUAGUUUUAUCAGAUUCUUUAGUAGCUGACGAAAGAUUCAAAAUUGAACCAAAACUGUAUAGUUUUUCCAGCUAACAAACAACUACUCCGCAUAACCAAUUUCAAAGUGAAAAGUGAAAUUGCAAUCAAAUGUCGAAUCCGAGCCACCAAACGCAGCCGAAACAAGCUAAUUAAUCACAUAAACAAGCCACAUAAAAUUCUCGCCCGAUAACAAACACCAAAACCCUAAAAUCACAAUGCAACAAAAAAUCUAAAAAAGAAAUCAACAAAAGAAUAAAUUCAGCUAAGAAACUCCCUACCUGAUGAUCUUAUCAAGGUAAUCGGAGACGACGGUUGCCCAGCAGGGCCCCAUGGCGGCGGUGCCUUCAACGGCCACGAUCAGCUGCUUCUCCGCCAUCGUACAGCUAGAAAGGACCGUAGAGAAAUUUCAACUGCUUUUGCUGGCUGUGCGGCGGAAAUGUGUGAGAGUCCAAAGCUUGGAAACGGUGGUAAGUGCACGAAACGCAGCGUUCUGGACGACAAAGACGAGUAUUUUAAAUGGGAGUCGAUACCCCGCUGCUGCCGCGACUGGUUUGGGGUUUCUUCCGGUGGCGCAAAAUUAAAGGCCGAGCCCACAGCCUUUUUUAAGUUUUUUUUUUUUUUUUUUUUUUGAAAAACUGGAAAUAUUCAUAACCAGGGCUGGAACCAAAAACACAGGGAGACCUAUCAGGAGGCAACAACCAAAGUACACAAACAGAUGGCAAUGAAGAGGGGAACAAAGGCUAAAGAUGUUGCACCAAGUGUGAAGCGUCACCCUUUCACUACCCAAAAACAAUUACGGAGGACAGGGGAGGCCAUCCUUGUUCAAAAUAUGCACCAGCGAAUAUGGGGGAUGGUUAAUCCAAGUAUAACCACACAUCUCCGUGUUACUUCUCGACGCCAAACGGUCCAUCGCCAAAUUGACUGAUCUCGAAACCCAAUACCAACGAUACAUCUAAAAGGAAUCCUGAAGCCUUAAAAUUCUAGUCAACGUAGGAUAAGUCUCUCAGCUGCAGAGGACAAAUCAUUACCAAAAAUGUUCUCUUUAGAAUCCGAUUCAACAAUAAUUAUGUGCAAGCCCAGAGAAUGAGCAAAUUCACAUCCAAACAAAAUGGCAAGAGCUUCUGCCACAACAACACACGGAGCAGAAAUCAUCAGUUUCCACACCCCAACAAACCUUCCAUCAGUGCAUCUGGCCACAAUCCCCACACAGCCCUCAGCCGAAGUAACAUCCCAGCUCGCAUCAACAUUGAGCUUGGUAAACAUGGAACAGGGCAGAGAUCAACGAACCAAACCCAAAGGGGAAACCUGCUGAGGUAGAAAGUUCCUCAAAGGUGGAUAAGAAGCCUUCAAAAAAGUUGUUGUCGAAGAGGAGAUAGACAUAAUGACUUUUUGUGGGUUGAUAGCCGUUUGGUUAUAGAGAUUGUUGAUAAUCAAAAUCGGAGGUCUUGGAACAACGUAAAUCCGUCCGUGAAUCUGCAAGAAAUGUAAAUAACACAAGAGUUAUCGUGGUUUACCCCAAGGCUUGGGCUACGUCCACACUGAUUGUAUUUCUCUGACUGUAUGUAUGGAUUACAAGGGUGAGGGGGAGUCCCCCCAGAGAAAGAGAGUGUUAUUGUGUUUGUGAGGGUAUUGCCCUCUGUUGGGUUCACUAAGUCCCCUUUGUGAAAGGAGAAAAGUCCCUUUUUAUAGAAUAAGGGGCUCCUCCUUUUACAUAAUCAUAUGGGCUGGGUAAUGAGGCCAAAUGUAUCAAAGUCUGAGGCCCAAUAUGUGUGGUACCAACAGUAGUCCCCCAAGUUUUCAGUCAAGAGAGUCUUUUGGCUGGAGACUUCAAAUCCAAUCCAUGUAUGGGCCGAAGUGGCUAGAUGCCUUGAACCAGUACUCAACCCAAGGCAAUGCUCAACAUAAAGCAAUAUUCGGCUAGAGGUAUCACACGUUACGAGAUUGCUCGGUUGGAGGCGAUGCUCGUUGUGAGGCUGCUCGGCUAAAGGCUAUACGCGACGAGGCAUUUGCUCGGUUGGAGGCGAUGCUAAUUGCGAGACGGCUUGCUAGAGGCUAUGUUCGCUGCGAGACGGCUCGGUUCGUGGUACUCCUCAUUGCAAGUAUCUAUUUUAUGUCGACAUGCACUCAGUAUGAGUUAAUUCUCGACAUGACUCGGGUCCGCUUGUCGGGUUCGCAUAUUGGGUCUAUGUGUCGGAUCCGUGGAUCGAGUCCGCAAGUCGAGUCUUUGAGUUGGGGUCAUAUGUAUGGUCAUUGAUUUGGGGCUAUCUAUAGGGUUAUCGAGUUGGGACUAUCUGUAAGGUCAUCGAGUUGGGUCCGGGCACAUAAGUGUCCCAAUAAGCGAAUGUCCGUGCAAGUGGGUGUCCGGUCAGACAAGAGAUCACCAUGAGCACAUGGCUCAUCAAUCUAUAAGUUGGUAGAUUUCGUUAAUCAGCAAUAAUGUUGAUCAGUGGACCUAGUUGCUCAAUAAUUCCUAACAAUAAAUGACAGUAUAAGUACGACCGUAUAAUGAAUAAAUCAAAUUGACAAAGUUUGUCAAGGCAAAAUAUUGUACUAUGUGCCUUCUAUACAUAAAUAAUUUAUUCAGUCGUGUGGUAAAUAAUUUGUAUCAUAUAUCAACAAUAUAUUAGGUAUUGCCUAAAUGUGUGUGUAUAUAUAUAUAUAUAUAUAUAAUCAUAUGUUGUUUAAUAAAUCAUAUGUUGUAUAAAUCAAUAACGUGGUAUAAAUAAUGUGAUAUCAGAAAUAAUAUUAUUUAAUCAUAAGUCAUCAUAACAUAAAAAAUAAUAGGAUAUUAAAUAAACAAUGAUAUUCGGAAAACAUUAUGAUGUGAAAAGUAAAGCUCUUUUUUCUUUUUCUUUUUCCUUUUGUCCCUUCAUGAUGAAGGUUUUAUGGCACUAUCAUAUAUAUAUAUAUAUAUAUAUAUAUAUAUAUAUAUAUAUAUAUAUGUGUGUGUGUGUGUGUGUGUGUGUGUAUGUAUAUACAUAUAUUUAUCAUGAGGUGCCGCAUUAUAUGCACAUAUCACGAAAGCAAAUAAUAUAUAGCUAAAUGUGCACUAAAAUAUAAAUUUGAUAGAAAUGAUGUGGUCUCCUCAAAGAAUAUGCAUACUGUAAAGCAUCCCCAACACAAAAUAAUAAUAAACUAUUUAAAUAAACAAAUGAUAAGUUGGAGAAAAGUAAGAGGAUCUUCCUCCUUAGAAAUUAUAAGUUGCUUUCAUUUGGGAUCCUCAUCUUCUCCAAUUGGGUAUAUAUAUAUAUAUAUAUAUAUAUAUAUAUAUAUAUUUUAACAAAGGGAUAGUGGGUAAACAUUAUACCAUGUACCCUUUUUCUUUCUGCCAUGAAUGAUUACAGAUAUAACACUAAAAUAUUGAAAACAUGAGUGAUUAAAGAUAAGUAGCAGAACAUCAUAGAAUGCAUGUGAUGAUAAAAAAUAAUUAAAGGUAAAUAAUAAUAAAAUAAUAAUAAGGAACCCUUAUCUUCCUCCUGGGUCUUCCAGCUUUCUCAGAAAGUGGAAAGUGGACAUGGUGGUAUUCACAGGAGGUGGGAUCCCUGUGUCUGGAAUGAUUAAAGAUAGAUAAGUGUGAUAGAAAUGAUUGCCUUCGCUGCUUUUAGUGAAGGCUUUUUCAACAAAGUGGGAAAAUGCACUCCCCCUCCUAAAAUACAGACACCUUCCGUCGCACAGCACCAACACCGAGUCCAGUUCUUAUAGGCGAUGCUGAGCAGGUUGUGCUCCUCCACCGUCAGCUCGGUCCCGGCGGCGAUGGAGCCGACAACAAGCUUAUCCAUGAAGCUCAUCAUCUCUUCGUACCGCUCGGCCUGCUCGGCGAGUUUUGCCAGGUACACGUACUGUUCUCUGCUGAGGUUUUCAGGGACAGCAGAAGCCAUUGAAGCAGGCGAAUCAAGCGUUCUGCAUCCUCCCCGACAUGGGCACGAACGACAUCGCGGCCUGUGGAAGGAUCAUAGAUGGCAAGGUUGACAUAGGAAUAAGUGGACUGAAAGAGGCCGCAGACCAAAGGCAGACAGAGUCAGGGGCCUUCCAUGUCUUGAGAAUGCAGUAGAUGUCAACGAGGUGUUCAAGGUGUUGUGCUUGUGCCAGCAAUUGCCAACUCAAACUGAGCGCAGCACGGCCACCAGAGAAGGCAUAUUUUUGUCAACAGACUCCAGCUCACCUCGGAGGAAGAGGCAAGUCGAGUUCAAGAGGCUUUGGAGGUAGGUGCCACCAUGGCUGCUCUCCAACGACGGUGUUGGUGUCUUGGAUGGCAUUGAUUUGAUUAAUUAUAGCUGGCUGGCGGUGUUUGGUUUUUUGUACCUAAAAUCUAAGUAGUAAACUCAAAUAUAAGAGAGAGAGAGGGUAUAAAGAGACUGUGACUGUGACUGUUUUUUUUUUUAUUUCUUUUUGUUUUGGUUUUUGGGUUUCUGCAGAUUCACGAUAGAUAUUGUGGUGAGGUUUCACGGUGGUGAGAUAAAAAAAUGAAAGUCGUUUCCCACAAAUUGCACCAAAUGUUGAUGCACAAAACCGGAGGUCUUGGAACAACGUAAAUCCGACCGUGAAUAUGCAAGAAAUGUAAAUAACACAAGAGUUAUCGUGGUUCACCCUAAGGUUUGGGCUACGUCCACACUGAUUGUAUUUCUCUAACUGUAUGUAUGGAUUACAAGGGUGAAAGGGAGUCCCCCAGAAAAAGAUAGUGUUGUUGUAUUUGUGAGGGUAUUGCCCUCUGUUGGGUUCAAUAAGGGGCUCCUCCUUUUACAUAAUCAUAUGGGCUAGGUAAUGAGGCCCAAUGUAUCAAAGUAUGAGACCCAAUAUGUGUGGUACUGUUGAUCCUAAAAACUACAAAGCUUACGUAGCGCGCAGGCCGAGUAAUCUAUAAGCUAACUACGUCAUUCGAUGAAUGCGGGGCGUGCCAACUCGUUGCCCGAGCUUGACCGAGGAGUAAAUUUGUUGAUGUUGCGUUGGGUACGCGGCUGACUUCUGCGUCUUGCGAUUGCGACCGAAGAAGGAACACGUCUCGGCCUCUUGGGUUCUCGAACCUGAAGACAAGGCUACUAUUCUUACAAAGUUCACGAAUCGUCGUCGUUGGAUUCGGUCACAGUGAUGGUAUUCGUCAGAGUAAACUCACGCCGAAUCGACACCAAAGUGUAAGAGCACAAAUACUCGAAGCAGAUAUGAGUCUUAAUAAUGAACGUGGUUCGACCGUCUGAACGUCGAACUCUAAAUCCUACUUGAGAGUAUCCAAUCAUCAAAUAACUCGGCGUACAAUGUGCUGAGCUCGGUGGGCUGUAACACCUCGCUUCGUCGAAAAGGUUAACGAGAUGACCUCAAUCAAUAAGGAUUCAGAAAUCAUUCUCAACCGAGACUUGGAUAGGUAACCAACCGUCUUCGUCGUAGUGCUGUUGAUGCCAACAGAAGAUACUACGAGAUCGACUGAUUCUACGGCGACAGAGCUAUCUAUGUCGACCGAAGAUAUCAUUGGUUGCUUUCACAGUGUUGUUGAUGCCAACGGAAGAUGUGUCAGCGAAAAGAGAAAAUAAAAAAAAAUCUCAAGUUGUUGAGAGAGUUUGCGCAUGGCAGUUGUGUGUUGAAUUGGAAAGGGCUCGAACGAUGCACAGCCUCCUCUAUUUAUAGCACCGAAUACCUUCAAGGUCGAGUUAAAAACCUACCAAGAUUAGGACUUCUUCUCCUAAUCGAACUCCAACUCGACCAGUCUUUUUUUUCACUAUACUUUUGAACCCAGUCCUAUAUUGAGCCGGAUUCACUUCCAGGUUGUUAAUCUCGUCGAAACUCCUCAUUGCACCAGGAUUCGACUCGUCUUGCAGCAUGACUUAACCUACCCAGGUUUGGAAGCCCACGAACCAAACAAUCCAUGGUAACUUUGUCGUAUGGCCUUCCGGGCAGAGAAUAAUUCUAUACUCGGUCCAAACUGAUAUUUUGGGCCCAAACAGGUACCAACAGAGAUAAUUACACCGAGCCUUCCAAAUAAACCAACAAGUGAAGGCAACAUAAGACAAUGACCAAAUAGUUGCAUCCUUAGAUCCUAAAGGUGAAUUUAAAAAAAAGAAAACCAGUUCGCCAACAUCGAGAAACCAGUUUUAUCCACCACGUAAUAAACAGUCAAUAUUAAGACCAACUCCAAUGGUGGGCUAAAAGCUAAAUUUCCCCAUUUAUUCCCCUUCCCAAACACCACCCAACCCAUGCUAAAAUAUCGAGCUAAAAGCCAAAUGCCAAAGCUAGGCCAAAUUCCCCCAUAUGCGAGUGGACUUGCUAGCACUUGGGCCAGUCUCGGCCCGCCCACGCUCCAACGCACCCCAUGCGGUUGGCUUGCAAGGGUUUCCCGACAGGGGUGAGCCCCGCUGUCAGCUGUGUGUCGGCCAACAUUAUCAUCCUAACAACUAUAGUUUUAAUCCAAGGGCUGGGCUCAGUGGCGGAUCUACAGAGGGACCUGGGAGGUCCCAGGACCCUCCGGCAAUCCUAAAAUGCUACUAUAAAUUUUCUGGGGGACCCCUCAAAGCAGGAUCUGUGCUGUCAUGUGCUGCAGGUUGCAGCUUGCAAUGGAGAAGAAGACAGGGGGAAGAAAAGAAGACAGGGGGAAGAAGAAAGAACAGGGCCUAAAGGCCUUUUAAAAAAUUGGUCCAAAACGCAGUGUUUUGGCCAAUUUGUUUAAAUUGUUUUUUUUUUUUUUUUUAAAACCCAACCGUUUGUCCAUGAUUCCCGAGACCCUUUAACGCCUAGCCCACAUGAUGGGCCAUCCUGAGUCACUCUUCCUUCCCCACCCCCCAGUUCCUGCUUUUCCAUUCCCCCUAAUCCCCAUCUUUCUUAUAUUCACCCAAAACCAAAACCCUAAAUUUCUAAUCCCACCCAAUCCCAUAUUAUAAUUAUAUUACUCCAAUAUUAUACCUCCACUUGUUUCAAUUCUCCAAGCCACCACUAUUUGGUUCAAAAUUCAAGUAAGUUUUUUGGUAUUAAUCUAAUCUCAAUUAAAUUAUAUUAGAUAUUGGUGGAGAUUUUUAGUCUAUUAUUGAUAUGAUUGUUGAUAUGUUUUAUGUUUGUAUACUCAUUUUAUCAUUGAAAUUUAGAUGGAUUUUUUGUUUAUUGGUUGAUUGGUAUAUGUUUUGUGUUUUUGGUUAAAUGUGUAGUUUAGAAAUAAGAAAUAUGGAAAGAUUUUUCAAGCCAAAGCCAAUAGCACUAUCUACUUGUUCGGGUAGUUUGAGCUCAAGACAAAAUGAGCGUGACAUUGAUUUUAAUAGUCUUGAGAGAGACUUGGGAAAAAGAAUUCGAAUGAAGGACUAUCCUUCUAAUAUUCAAGAUGAGGUCCGAAUAGCAUAUUUGCAAAUGGGACCUUGUAGGCCUACAAAGUAUGAGUUCCCAUACACUUUGCAUGCAAAGAAAAAGCAACGAUUUGUUGUUUCGUGGUUUGAAGAAUAUGAUUGGUUGGAGUAUAGUAUAUCUAAAGAUGCGGCAUUUUGUCUUCAUUGCUAUCUCUUUAAAAUCAACUUUUCACAAUUAGGAAGCGAUGCCUUCACUGGGGUAGGCUUUAAGAAAUGGAAGAAUGCAAGAGAAUGUUUUGACAAGCAUGUUGGUCCUAUUGGUAGUUUCCAUAAUAAAGCUAGAGAAGCGGCUAGUUAUUUAAUGAACCAAAAGACACAUAUUGAAGCAGUUGUGAUCAAAUAGUCAGAAGAAGAGUGUAUGAAAUAUCGUCUUUAUUUGAAUGCAUCAAUAGAUUGCACUAGUUCUUGUUGCGACAAGUCCGUCCUUUUUGUGGCCACGAUGAAAGUGACACUUCGAAUAAUAGGGGGAAUUAUUUAGAACUCUUGCAAUUCCUUGCGGAUCAUGAUGAGAAAAUAAAGGAAGUUGUGUUGGAAAAUGCUCCGAGAAAUCUCAACCUAAUAGCUCAUUCAAUUCAAAAAGAUAUUGUCAAUUCAUGUGCCUUCGAAACUAUUAAGGCUAUUAUGAAAGAAGUGAAAGAAAGUAAAUUCUUUUAUAUAAUGGUAUGAAUCACGUGAUAUUUCAACAAAGGAGCAAAUGGUAGUGAUUUUGCGUUAUGUGGACAACAAAGGUCAAGUAAUUGAAAGGUUCGUGGGAGUCAAACAUGUUACUGAAACAACUUCAAGUAAACUAAAGGAGUCCAUUGAUGAGUUCUUGAAACUACAUGAUUUGAGCUACUCCAACCUACGAAGUCAAGGUUAUGAUUGAGCGAGUAAUAUGAGAGGUGAGUUCAAUGGCCUUAAAAAAAAAAUUUGGAUGAAGAAAGUUGUGCAUUCUAUGUUCAUUGUUUUGCUCAUCAACUACAAUUAGCUUUUGUUGCUGUAGCAAAGAAAAACUCCGAUGUUGGCGCUUUUUUCACAUUGACUAAUAAUUUGGUGAAUGUUGUUGGAUGCUCAUGUAAGCGUCAUGAUGCACUUAGAGAGAAACAACAAGAAAAUCUCAUGAAAGCUAUUGAAAAUGAUUGUCUUGAAACGGGGCAAGGGUUAAAUCAAGAAACUAGUCUCAAACGUGCUGGGAAUACACGGUGGAAUUCACAUUAUGGUGCUUUGAUUAGUUUGAUUACAAUGUUCUCAUCUGUGGUGGAUGUGCUUGACAUGAUUGUUGAAGAUUGCUACAAUGAUAGUGCUGGUGAAGCAAAAGGUUAUUAAAAGAUUUACAAUCUUUUGAGUUUGUGUUCCUCCUCUUUUUGAUGAAAUCCAUAUUAGGAGUUACAAAUGAUUUGUCACAAGCAUUACAAAAAAAGAAGAUCAAGAGAUUGUGAAUGCAAUGGCUUUAGUCAAGACAUGUAAAGAACAACUACGUUGCAUGAGGAAUGAUGAAAAUUUUGAUCUUUUGGUUGAUAAAGUAUCAUCUUUUUGUGUUGAACAUGAAAUUGAGAUGCCUAAUAUGGAUGAUUUAUAUGUCAUUCAAGGGAAGUCAUUGCGUAAGGCUCCAAGAAAGACCAAUCGUCAUCAUUACAAAGUGGAGCUCUUUUUUGAGGUCAUUGAUUUCCAACUUACAGAAUUAGAUGAUCGCUUCACUGAAGGUAAUACCGAAUUGCUUAUUUGCUUGGCAUGUUUGAGUCUGAAUGAUUCAUUUGUAGCUUUUGAUAAAGAGAAGCUUGUUCGCCUUGCUCAGAUGUAUCCUAAAGAUUUCAUGGAUCGAGAUAAAUUGGCACUUCAAGAUCAACUUGAUAUUUACAUUCAUUUUGUGCGUUCUGAUAAUGAUUUUUCUCAAUUGCGGGGGAUUAAUGAGCUUGCUAAGAAAAUGGUGGAGAAAGGGUUGCAUCGAACGUUUGCAUAUGUAUAUUUGCUUGUUCAGUUGGCUUUGAUUUUACCGGUUGCAACCGCUUCAGUGGAAAGGGCAUUUUCCGCUAUGAAUAUCAUUAAGGGUCCAUUUCGCAACAAAAUGGGAGAUCAAUGGUUGAGUGACAGCUUAAUUGUUUACAUUGAGAAAUAUGUUUUUUCAUGUAUUGGUAAUGAAGCUAUCAUGGAACAUUUUCAGACUAUGAAACCUCAUCGUGGACGCUUGAAUUAGGAUUUUAUAGCUUGUAAUGUUGUUUUGCACAUGAUUUUUGAAUGAAAUGUAUUAUAUUUAACUUUUCAAUGUUAUUUUUGUCUAUAAAUUUUUUGACCUUUAUUAUUAGGAUCCCCCAAGUUUAAAAUCCUGGAUCCGCCACUGGCUGGGCUUUAAGGACCGUUGGUUGAUCCAACGGUCCAUAUUCAAAUUUAAUUUUUUUAGAAUAUGUUAUUUUAAAAUACAUUGAAUCCAAUGGCUGAUAUUGAAUAUAAUCAAAUCUAACGGUAAAAAAAAGAUCUAAUGGCCCAAAUUUAAAUUUAACGGCUAAAAUAAUUAAAAAAAUUAUUUAACUCAAAAUUCACCAAAAAACUCUAUAAAUACCUAUGUAUUUGUUCAAACAUCCACCCAAAACUCAAUUUUCUCCUACAAUUCUACCAAUUUAUCUUUCUACCAUUUAUUUCCAUUUCCAAAUUGUUCAACAUGGCAAUAGAGCAUAUUAGAGGUCGUAAUUGAACAUGUGAGGAAGAUGUUGCUUUAUGUUUGGCAUGAGUUUCUGUUAGCGAAGAUGGUGCAGUUGACACAAAUCCAAAUAAGAAGGUUUUGUGGUAUAAAAUCAUUGCAAAGUUUCAAGAAAACUGCAAUUGCGGCGGGCGGGAUGGUAGUGGUGUUUAUGAUCAGUGAAAGACUAUCAACAAAGCAUGCACUUUAUGGAAGGGAAGCAUUGAGAUAGCCGUGAUUGGCAUGGUUAGUGGAAAGAGCGCCACAUAAAUUAUGAGUUUUGUUCUUGAUAUUUUAUUUGUCACGUACAUAAUAUUAUUUUGCAACUAAUUAUUUUUAUGUAUUUUUUGCAUAGGGUGACAAAGCAAUGGAAAUUUACAAGACAAGAGUAACACUAAAAAAUCAAGUUUUUAAGUUGCAACAUGCUUGAGACGUCCUCAAGGAUUGUCCGAGGUGGGGAACCGAUGCAGACCAAUAAUGGGGAAGAUUAUUUCAACAUGAAGCCACACAGACAAAUGCCGGAGAUGAAGGUGUCGAUGAAAUGACCCCAUCUCCUUUUUUUGCAAGGCCCCCGAGAAGAGAUAAGCAAAAGGAAGCAAAGAGAAAAGGGAAGUCGCAAGAUUCGAUGAGUGGACACUUUGCUACCGGAAUUGCAAAAUUGAACGAAACUCAUAGCGCUUGCCAAGAAGAAACGGGCCAAAUGCGUUUGCAAAUGAAGGAAAUCUCAAAUAGGGAGUAAGAUAGAUUUGAAAUUAAUUUCAUGAUGGAAGACCUCAGUAAAUACAUUCCAGAGAGGAAGAAGUUCUUACGUGGUAAGCAAAAGAAAAUUUUACGAAAGUCUGCUUCAAGGAGUAUAUUUCAAAAUGAUGAAUCCUCUGAACCUUAUAUCCCAAGUCCUGUACGAAGUCCAUCACAAGUGAAGAUGGUGGAUAUGAUUAUUAAGUUUAUGUAGUGUAUGAAUUAUGUGUUUUAUUAAUUAAGUUUAUGUAGUUCAUUAAUUAUGUGGUUUAUGAAUUAUCGGUUGUAUUAAGUUUAUCUGGUUUAUGUACUUUAUUAAAUUUAUGUCUUAUUAAUUAUUGUUUCUAUUAAUCUAGAUGCCUUCAAUAAUUAUUGUACUUAUUAUUCCACACUUUGAUGUAUAAUAAAUGCUUUCAAUAAUUCAAUCUCCAUUCAAUAAUUUAUCCAACGUACUAAACAAAAUACUUUGCACAAUAAGACACUUAAAUUUAUUAUUAGAAAAUAACAACAUAGUACACUUAAAAUUAUUACAUAAAUGCUUAACCAACAUCAUCAAUGUUCACCUUCUCAUCAGUUGAGUCUGUAGAGCACCCAUUAGCUAGCAUGCAAAAAGCAGAUGUGAGCUUCUGAUGAAGUGAUAGACAUUGUCAGCUUGCGACAUCUAUCAUACUUGCAAAGUAGUGGUCAUGAAAGUUCAGCUUCAGCGUCGAACAAUUCUGCAUCCUCAAUCUCAAUCCUUGCUUGGUUUUGUGCCAUAUGCAUUGCCAUGCUACCCCUUAUUCUAUCACCCAUUGAAAGUUGAAAGAUUGGUGAAUAUAGAGGAUUUUUAGGAACAAAAAUUCAUUGAAAAUUGAAAGAUUGGUGAAUAUAUAGGAUGAUUGAAGGUUGAAAGGUUGUAUGAUCAACUAAUAUUGGACGUAUGUUUAUAUAGAGGAUGAUUGAUGAAAGUUGAACGGUUGGUGAAAGUUGAAAAUUUGGUGUUGAACAGUUGGUGAAUUGAAAAUUUGGUGUUGAACGGUUGGUGAAUUGAAAGUUAGCCUAGGGUUGAAAGAUUGGUGAAAGUUGAAGGCUUGCUUUAUGGAAAAUUUAGUGAUUUUUUAAUAUUUAUCGGAAUUUAAAUAUUUUUAUAUUAAAAUGUUCAUAAAAUUAAUUUACGAUAGUCUAUAUAUUUAUUUAUUUUUUAAAAUUUAACUGAAGAAAAAAAUAGCCUAAGUUCAUUAUUUAAUAAUUAUGAGCUAAAAUUUUAGGUCAGAAGGGUUUGAGCAGAAAAGUUGUUUCUGAGCUAAAAAUGUUGGCUUUUAACCCAACCAUUGGAGUUGAUCUAAUAGGGUAACCCUUGAACUAUUUUGUAUUGACCAAUUUGCACCCUACCUUUAAGAUUUUGAAUUUCUGACCACUUUUUUUUUUGUUGAUUUCUUUUUAAUUUCUAAACAAAAACAAAUGAAUGAGUGAAAAUUGUUAAUUUAGAUUUUGAUAUAAUCAUGGAGUGCAACACACUUAUUUGGGUUGGUUGUGUCAUCUUUGCUUGAUCUUUCUUUUAUUUCCUUCUAUUUUGAAUCAAUAUAAGUGGAGAAAUCAAGCAUUUUGCUUUGAAGAAUAAUAUCGAAAAAAAUCUCAAGAAUGGCAAGGAUAAUUUUCUACUAUAUCGGGAAAGUAUCAAGGAAAAAAAGGUAAUUUUCAGCUAUGAUGAGAAAAUCUCAAAAGUAUGAGAGGAUCCGAAUUUUAAUUUGAUAACAAAACUGAAGUUUAAUAUUCUAUUUUAAACUAAUCUAAAUUAUAAUAUGGAUAUUUAAAUUAAAAAAUAUAUUCGCUUCGGCCAAUGCAACUACCACUGAUCUAAAAAAGAAGUAAUUUUGGUUUCCUUCUUUUGGGUAAUGCAAAGACCCAAAAUUAGAAUCAUAAUACAAAAAAAUAAAUAUGCAUUUAUUCCCGAAAUUAGAAAAAAAAAAAGUAAUUAUUAAUCAAAUUUCAUGUUCAUGUGGGUGAACCCGUGGCAAGUGGCAGCAUAAAAUCCAUUUGAAUUUGAGGAAUUUAAUUUAAAUUAAUAAUGAAGUAAUCAACUUUGCACUUCAAUCGCUCUCCAAAUUCGCGGGAACACCAUGGCAGCCGCCGCUCAGGGCAGCUCUCUUCUCUGCUCCUGCCGCAGCAGACCAUGCACAACCAGAACAACCCUAUCCCCUUUCGGUCCCUAUCCCUUUCUCUCUCCUCUCACCCCCAUUGGCGCAAGCUCCAAACAGUUGAAGCUUUCGAAUUCCAGGUUCUCUUUCUCCUCUAUCUCUAUAUAGGGUUUCUAGGUGAAUUUGAGAAAUGAAUUGUCAAUUAAUUUACAUAUUUGCAGGACUGGUAGGGUUGUUUCUGCUGUGGUUUCUGAGGAGAACGCAAUUCAAUCAAGUUUCUCUGGCACCGAUGGGUUCAAGCUCACUUAUUUGGAGGUGGGUUUUCAAUUUUCUUAUUGGUACUUCUUAAAUUUGAUUACUUUUGGGGAUUUUUUUUUACUUGAAUAAAUGUUUACUUUUAGGGGAAUAGUUGGUUGUGGGAUGUGGGUGGGGUGAAAAUACUGGUGGAUCCAAUCUUGGUGGGUAAUUUGGAUUUUGGAAUCCCCUGGCUUUAUGAUGCUGCGAAGAAGUUUUUGAAGAAUUUCCAGGUACUCCUUUAGCUUCGAAAUCAAUUUUUUGAAGCAAAUUUGCCUUCGAUUUUCCUUUUUAAUUACGCAUAUGUUGCCAUUAUUUUGUAGAAUGUUGUGAAGUUGAUAGGCCUGUUUUGAUUGGGUUUGCAACUUUAGUGCAGUUAAGUGAUAUUCCAGAAGUUGAUUGCUUGCUUAUUACACAAAGUCUUGAUGAUCACUGCCAUUUGAAGACAUUAAAGCCCCUCUCCGAAAAGUACCCGAAUCUUAGAGUAAUAGCUACACCAAAUGCUAAGGCCUUGUUGGAUCCCCUUUUCAGCAAUGUGAGUUUGAAACUAAUGUUUUGUUUAAGGCUGCAGCUUCUUGAAUGUUAAUUUUGUUUUUAUUUUAAAUUUUUUAAUAUACGCUGUUUAUCCAGGUUAGGCAUGAACAAUCUCUACAGUCACCACCAAAGAAACAACGAUGCACUUAAAUAAGCAAUGCCUUGUUUCUUAAAAACUAGUGUAGUUUUUAUAAUUGGGGUAUAUAAUCCGGCUGCUGUGUUGGGUUUAUUGUGCAUCUGUUCCCUCUUAAUUUUUGGUUAAUACAUGUGCUACUAAGAUGGUGGACAUUACUACACAAAUUCUAUUCCUAAAUUUUACCUUUCGCAACAACUGAAGUUACUGAACCUUACUGUCAUUACUUCAACUUGGCUCAAUUGUUCCUGAAAAUUGCAAUGCUGGCAUGCAAGAUAUUCCCAAAGCCGUAGAUGAAGUCGCAUUCCGUGUUUCUAUUUGAGAUUUACACUAAUUUUGUUUAGGUCACAUAUCUAGAACCUGGCCAGAGCUCCAUUAUUGAAGCAGGAAAUGGUUCUACAGUCAAAGUUCAGGCCACUGCAGGGCCAGUUCUAGGUCCUCCUUGGCAGCGCCCCGAAAAUGGGUAAGGUGUCAUUUUUCUUAUUGCGAUUGUAACACUAGUGAAUUCCAUUGGCAAGGAAUGAAAUAAAAAGGAAUGAAGUUAAUGGAAAAUUCUUCUUGAUUGAUUGAAUUAAUAAUUACAACAGAGAGAGCAUAUAAAGCUUUUGCUAAUUACAAUGAAGUCCCUAACCAUCUUUACUAAUUACAAUUACAAGUGUAAACAAACUUCUUAAUGACUGAACUUAAAUUGUUGACUGUAUUGGAUGGCUUGGCUUGUAGAUUUUCCUCUUUAUGAAACAGUUCCUUGUAAUAUGUUCUUUAGUCUUUGGUUAAAUGGAUAUUAACGAGAUGUUAUAAUAUGUGGACCAGAUAUCUUGUCAUUUAUCCAGAAGGGAAAUCUACACUUUACUAUGAACCCCAUUGUGUAUACAAUACAAGUUCACUCGAGAAGGAAAGAGCUAACAUUAUUAUCACACCGGUCAUAAAGCAGCUUCUGCCUAAAUUUACCUUGGUCUCUGGACAAGAAGAUGCAGUUCGACUUGCAAAGCUGCUGAAUGCCAAGUACAGAUUCUUUAUACCUUAAUACUAACAUAUACAUAAAGAUGGUUUUACUAGACACAUAUCAACGUCUUUGUUUUACAUUUUGUAGGUUCAUUGUCCCGAUGACAAAUGGGGACUUGGAUGCCAAGGGGCUUCUUGCUAGUUUAGUUUCGGCUGAAGGAACAAUCGAAUCAUUCAAGGUUGUUUUCUUCUUCUCACGGUUUUUUCUACGGUGAAGUAUUAAGAUUUCUUUGUGCAAUAUUAUCACAAUUGAAGUUGUGGUUAUUAAAUGCAGGAACUUUUGUCCAAGGAAUUACCAGAUGCACAGGUACUGCAGCCUACUCCUGGUGUGCCGCUAGAAAUCCCGCUACCUCCAAAUCUUCCGUAAUAUGUUUUCUGCAGAAGAUAUACAGACACUGUAGCUCACUGAAAAUAUGUACACAUCUCAUCAAACUCGUAAUUUGUAAAUGUCUGUUUAUUUUAUUGAUACCAUUUGUUCACUUUUAAUCUGUAUUCAAAAGCAACUCCAAGUAGGCUUGGCCUCUGAGUUACAUAUGAGAAGCUGGUUCACUUGAACAAUAUUCCAUUUUGGAAUAGUUAUUGGGACAUCGGAGGCACAAAUAUUUGUAAGGCCCACUUAGCUAGUGGUAGAGGCAUGCCACUUAAUAAAAUGACAGACAUGCUUUCCAAUUAGCUAUUCCGUUUAGUAAAUUUUUUUUUUUUUCAAUAUUGAAGGGAGGGUUUCUUUAGUUCACAUUAAAAGUACAAAUUUAAGUUACAUAUCUGAGUAAAAGCCGUUAAAUUAUUUAACUUAGUGCUGGUUUGAGAAUGAUGUGUUUUGAAAAAAAACUGAUUCUGUUGUGCUGUGAGAAUAAACAGCUGUGAAAUAAAACUAUAGAGUGUUUGGUAAAUUUUUUUGUAAAAGUGUUUAUGGAAAAAAAAAACGGUAUUAUAAUGUUUGGUAAAUUUUUAUGUAAAACAGCUGUGAUUAUAUGAAAUAACAAAAAAACGGCAUCGAGUAGUUUCUCCCACUACUGAACUAGACUUUCCAAAAACCAAAAACAUCUCUCUAGACGUCUCCCACACAACCCCAAUUUUCUCAGUUUUUAUAUUUUUUGCUCCGUCUUCUUCUUUUUUAUUUUCUGCUCCGUCUCUUCUUUUUUAUUUUCUGCUCCAUUCCUCAAUCUCUCUCGCAUGUCAUUCCUCAAUCUCUCUCGCAUGUCAUCUGAUUUAAGGAGCUAAGAAAAUCUACUCGUAACCCUGCAGCUGCUGAAGAAAUCAAAGAUUUUGAGGGAAACCCAAAAUCCGAAAAGAGGGAAAGAAAUGAGAAAAAUGCAGAGAACCUGGUUUGGGGUUGAAGACGUGGUUGGGGGAGAGAGGGAUUCUCCCGCAAAUCGCAGUCUCCAUGAAUCGAUCUUUCUUUUUUCUUGUGCUGCUGCUUCUGCUGCAAUGCGUCGUGCGAUUUUAUUUAUUUAGUUACAGGAAUUUUCUGUUUUGGUUUAAACAACCGAAAUAACAAGAAAAAGAUCGAACAACUGGUGGACUCCUGUGCUCUGUCUGGUGGGACUUCUGGUUUUCGCAAUCCAUAAGACGGCGUCGUCUUGACCCUACCAAGUACGAACACUGAAAAUAAUUUUUGUCAAAUUAUAAAUCCAAUUUCUUCACCAAAAUAAAUGAAUAAAUACAUAAAUAAAUCCAAUUUAAAAUGAAAAUCCGAAAUGAGCGGUGGGUUAGGCAUCUCCAAUGUACUAGUUCAGUUUCAUUAACGCAAUUUAUAGUUAAUGUAAUUUGGGUCUUGAAUUUUUAUUUUCAGUCAGUUUAUACUUUAUACUUAUAAAAAUAAGUUAAUGUGAGCAUUCUGUCGACUUGUUAAGAUUUUAUUUAUUUUAUGAAAUCCUAUAAGUUGACAAAAGACUUCACAAUGACUUAUUUUAUCAAGCACUAAACUUUAGGGGUGUGAUAUCCACACAUCAUUUUUUACUUCUCACACAUUCUUCUAAGUUUCGGCCGUUAGAUCGGGUGAAUUGAAAAAGAUCAAAGAGUAGACAUUAAUAAAGAGUGUGUGAGAAGUAAAAAGAAGUACGUGGAUAGCACACCCCAAAAUUUAUUGUAACUCUUGACUAUUAAAUUUUUGAUCGUACAUUCAACCCUCAAUUUAUUAUUAGUUUCAUGUAUAAGUUAUAACGGAACAUAUUAGAUUUUUCGCAAUUUUGACACUAGGUGAAAAUGCAGAGAGCAAAAAAACGUAACUGUCCUUUUUUAAGUUUUGCUCUCACGGCCACUUUCGUCUCUCACUUCAUCUGUGUCUGUAGGUCUCCCCCUUUGAACUCUUCUCGAUUAGUUAUUCAAAUUCCAGUUAUUUAACCAUGACCGUCAGGAAAAAAAAAAAAAAGAGGAUUUCCAAGUUAAAGAAAGCAGGAAAGAAGAAAGCUGCCGAUCCGUUUACGAAAUAUGAAGAAAGAUUGGUACGACAUCAAUGCCCCUCGUCUGUGGUUCUAUAACAACAACGUGGGUAAAACUCUGGUCUCCCGUACUCAGGGCACCAAGAGUGCUUCCGGAGCACUCAAACAUCGACUUUCGGAGGUCUCAUAAACUUUUGGGGGAUGAAUUUCACUAUGGACAAGCUGAGGUCCUUGGUAAGGAAAUGGCAGACUUUGAUGGAAGCUCACGUAGAUGUGAAGACGACAGACAAUUAUACUUUAAGGAUGUUCUGCAUUGGCUUCUCUAAGAGACGUCAAAAUUGGGUCGGUAAGCGCUUGAUAACAUUACACAUCAGAAAACACUUCAAGUUCAAUAUUUUAGAAGAAAAAACUAAAUUACCCUACUUAAUCUGCAUGCAACUUUUAGCACGAUUAAUGUGUUUCAGUAUGAAACUUAUAAUUGUUCGGGAUCUUUUUUUCUUUCUUUCUUCUAAUUUACUAAAUAGGUUAAGAAGACCUGCUACGCACCAGCCAGAUUAGGCGGAUCCGCUGCAAGAUGAGGGAGAUCAUGGUCGCGUGGGCGACAACAAGUGAUCUGAAUGACUUUGUCAAAAGGUUGAUGGCUGAAAGUAUAGGUAGAGAUAUUGAGAAGGAGAUGCUGAGCAUCUUUCCUUUACAAAAUGUGUUUAUCCAUAAAGUCAAGAUGUUGAAAGCACCCAAGUUUGAUCUUGACAAGCUGAUGUAUAUUCAUGGUUAUGAAGACCUUGGUGUCAAGGUUGAGAGCCCUGAUCAUCAAGAAGAAACUGCCCUGGAAUAAAACGUAGGACAGUGAUGUUUUGCUUUAAACUAAUCCCAACUGCGGGGAGGAGGAUUCGAACUCAAGUGCAUAAUAGAGCAUAACUAGUCUAGCGAAUGCAGCUAUGCCCAAGUUUAUAGAUAUCAUCGAAGGUUAAUUGUUGCCAGCAUUUUUUUUUAUUUUCUUCUACUUUAAAGUUGCUCGAAUUAUGUUUUGUGAAAUUUCUCUGAGGACAAAGAACCACUUAUUCAUUUCCCGCCAUUUAUGCGGUAUAUGAAUAUGAAUUUUUCAUGACAAUAUAUUAGAUAACACUACUCCAAAAGAGUAUUUUGACUUGAAAUUGCUUAUGGUAAAGCAAAUGCACAACCAGAACCUAGCAUUAAAAAGUAGAAACAAAUGAAAAUGAUACACGAGUUGCUUGGUACGUAGCUUGGCGUUAAAUAUGAUCCACUCUAAUUAAAAGACAGCAUGCUUGAUUAAUUCUUGAAGGAAGAGGAUGACAGAACACUAGUCCUUACUAGUUACUCCGCAACUUGGAUAAUACAUAAUUUUCGUCUGAUUAGUGGCAUAAUAAUCCGCUUAUAUAUCGUUAAUUACGUGUAAAAACGAUAUGUUGAUGCAUCAGCAAUGAUAUUACGAAAACCUCCAACUGUGGAAGCCAACAUGAUGAACACUCCGAUGAAUAUGCAAACCUGUAAACACACACAAUCCUCAUAAAUAAACUUUUUUGUAGCAUGAUGUAUCAAUUUGCGAUAUCGACAACAAGGAACAUUAGAUAUCUUUGGCUUACCCAGUUGACGAGCCAUUGAAUGCUGUAUCUCUUUGGUUUCUUAAUUCUCAGCCACAUUAUACAAGGAAGCUGUUGAAAAAAUGCUCACUUAGUUAAUUUCUUUCUGAUGAUGUAGUUCUGUAAUUUGUGCAAGAAACAAAUUAAGAAAUCAAAUAGAGUGAGAUAGGCUUACAAAGUAUGAAGUGGGGGCAAAACCAAAUCCACCAAAGAAACCAAGAAGGUCUCCAAAGAAAGGGAAGGUGACUCCAACAAAUAAUGUAAAUGCUGCAACAAUAUAGUGAUUAGGAACUUAAUUAGGGUUUAAUCAAGCAGAAAUGACAGAGAUACGGAGACGUAUGGGAAAUGGGAAUCUCACCAACAUAAGCUGAUCUCGUGAUUAGUCUAAGUGCAAUUCCAGGUGGGAAGUUCAUCUUUUUCACCAUCAUCCUCUCAAGCAUGUCAAAAACAGGCAUAGCAUAAACCUGCACACUUUUCAGUCACAUCCUUAAUUUAAUGUAGUUCUAAUAUUAAUGAGAAACACUCAAAGAAUCAAAGCAUAGAUAAAAGCCAUCUCCUAUCAACUGUUAAAGUCGGAGUCACUAAUGGUCGGAUCAGUUCCAAUUAUUUCUUUUCAAAAUAAUGUUUAAAGUGUGUGUUUUUACGAUAGAAAACACUUCUAAUCAUUAUCAUUUAUAUUAGAAGUGCUUUUGUUAUAAAUUUAAAAAAAAAAUUAGAUAAUUCCAAGUGUUUCCAAAACUUUUAUAAAAUAUAUUUGGAAGUGCUUUCUAGAAAAACACUCAAAAAUGCUUUUAAGUUUUUAUGUCAAACGUAAUCAAAAGCAUUUUUAGUUGUCUGCUUUUGUAACUGAGUGCAGAUUUAUACCUGGUAGCUGCCAAUGACAUGGACGACAACCAUUAGGUUAGCAGCAGCAAUGAGCCAUGUAGGUUUUUUAAGAUCUAUGAGCACGUUAUCAUCGACAUCUUGACCAAAGCCCAGUACCCGAUGAGGGCCACCGGGAAAUAGCAAAUUGCGUUGAUAAAGUAGGCUCCUAGAGCACCUUUCCACAUGGGAAUUCUCGACGGCUUCUCAGGCGUCGAUGGAAUUGUGGCUUGGAUUUCAAGCACCACUGCAUGCCCAGCAAAUGCAAACGAGAUUUGACCUAAUGCAUUGAAAACCCUAAACAUGUAAUCUGCAGGGCUUGUUUUCUUGUAUGCAUAGCUCACGUUUUCAACCUGACCUUUGCUUAAGCAACCUGCCCACGCUAUAGUUGAAUAACUGCAAAUUAACAACAAAUUCUAGUUAUUAAGAAAAAUUAUAUAUUAUUUGCCUUCUAAAGUUCUCUUGUUAGGUUUACGAGUAAAUCUUCCGUAGGGUUGUCCUACUAUUGGUAGAACUAGAGCAUGCAUCUCUAUCCAAAUUUUUCUCGAAUUUUAAAAGGAAAAUAUUCACAAAUAAAAUUAGAAGGCACUAAAACAAUAACAUAAAUAUUGUGCAACGUACUAGUGUAUUAUUUGUUUAGUAACUUUCUAGUUUUACUUUUAAUUUAAAAGUUCAUAAGUAGUUGUCACUUAUACGAAUAGUGGAAUAUAUGUGUUAAAAAAUUAAACUUUCUGCCACUUAUAUAAUAACAUGUGGUGUACCACUUGUGUUCCCGUCAUAAUGAAAAUUUUCUCCUUUAACUUGAGUUUGUGUAAAGUACGUAAAAAGGAAUUAAUUUCUGCACACUCCCUCUUCUUUUUUUUCUGUUUUUUUUUUAACAGGUUUUGUUUGGCCUAAAGCAAGUCUUCUAAAUCAGAUUUUCCUUCUCAUGGAAAGUGAAAAUUAAAAUUACUACCUUAGUGACAUGAUAGCUGCUGCUAGAGAAACACCAGCAACAGAGUUGAAAUUGGGGAGCUGGGAAAGAAAGAAAUGAAGGGAACCAAAGAUGACAAUCCAGUACGAUUGCUUGACUGGUGUGCAAUUGGCACAUGCCAUCUCCACAAAUUUCUUUAGACACUUUCCUCCGGUGACCAUGUACACUAUGUCACAACCAACCUGCACAAUCAUUUGUUGCGGAAGCACAAUCCAUGGCCCGAACUUUGGUCCGAAGGCGUGUCGGCCAAGGUCGAUGUAUCGGUCAAACCUAGUUCCCGGAACACAUUCAUGGAGCUGAAUCAUCUGCCACAUUGUGUUCAAGGUCAUGCACCAUGAUAUUACCAGCACCAUUGUCCCUGGACCCCUGAAAAUUAAAGGUAGAAAAAAGUAGGGCUUAUUAGUAUAUUAAUACAAGUACAACUCGUAUAUGUAUUAUUAUCAUGAGUUGGGGUGUUUUGUACCAUCCUAAGAAGGCCAUGGCAUACGGCAGGCUGAGUACACCGGCACCGAUCAUGGCGGUGACUGUGUGAAAGGUGGAGUACCACCAUUUUGCUCGGCGGGCGUUGUCCACCGGCUCCUCCUUCCAUUUGUCGUCUGAAACAACUUCCUGCCAUAGUUUCAAGGACAAGAACGAACAAACAGAAAAAUCAGAGUGGAAUUUGGAAAACGUCGUGUGAAUAAAGAGUGGUGAUGCUCACCUUUGGAGGAGGAGAAGUUGUAACCAUUUUUUUUCUCUUCUUUUGCGAUGAAGACAGAGAAACACUUUCAAUGUGGGAGUUGAUUGGUCGUCAUCAUGCUGUACGUAUAUAGUGGUUUCCUGGCCCGGAAUAUAGGCAGAAAUGUGGGAUAGUACAUUCCAAAACCCCACUCAUGCAUUUAUUUUUAGCUUUUUUUUUUUAACACAGGGACUUGUGCUUUUCCAGUUGAGUGAGAAAUUUUUAGUUGUGACGAAAACAUGAGUGGUACACCACGUGUUUUUAUGUAAGUGGUGGAAAAUUUUACUUUUUAAGUUAUUAACUUUUUAACACACAUAUCCCACUAUUUAUAUAAUGACACGUGGUGUAUCAUCCGUGUGACGGUCACAUUAAAAAAUCUCUCCAGUUGAGCAAUCGUGAAUCAUAUAGGAAAAAGCGGUAAAUAAUUUAGUAAAUUAAGAUGAUAUAACAAAGGGAAAGAGAUCCUUUCCGGAUCUCUUCCUUCACAGUCCAGGGAUCAAUUGAUCCAGAUCCUUGAAAUUUGAUCCACCGGUCAAAAAUUAUUAUAACUUUUAAAAGUUUUUACUAACUUUUUAUUUAUUUAUUUAUUUAUUUAUUUUUACUAACUUCUUUGUUUUUAGCCGUUAAAUCAAAUUUCAAGAGACCGGAUCACUUGAUCCUUAGGCUUUGAAGGGAGAGAUCCGGAGAUAUCUCUUUCCAUAACAAAACCCCUUGUAUGUACUUGGCAAACGAUGUUAAAGUUUUAAACCCUCCACUUAAAAUUAUCUAAAGUGACACGAGCUAAUAUUGCAAACAAGGUUUUACGAGACUUCACAUUUGUCAUACUAGCAAUUAUACACGUUUAUGGUGGCUAAAACUUUUUGGUGAGGAACCUCCAAAAUAUUUUUCGUCGCUGAAGAGGCUUUUUAUAUCUUUAGCGAUUGCUUAUGCAUAUCUAUUUCAUACUAGGAGUUUAUUUUAUUUAGGAGAAAAAUAAGGGAAAAAAAAUGGAGGCAACUGAUAUGAUCACCUGGCCAUGAAACUUUGAAAAAUAAAAAAUAGUAAAAUUAAUUUGUGUUUAAUUUUACUAUAUUGCCAGUGACUUUUAUGUUGGUUAUUUUUCUUUAUUUUGUUGGUAGGGCUAAUUUGAUCAUUUCAAUCUCUUUUGGUUGACAAAUAGAGUUUUGUUAAUAAAUAUUUUAGAUUAUGUGGUUGGAGAGAGGUAUGGAUUGGACUUUCUUAUUAAGUUAGUUUCUUACAUUGAUGAGACCAGUAUGAUAUACGAUCAUGAGACCUAAUACAAGAAAUUUUAUGUCAAAUGGCUCUAAAGAUAACAUGCAACACGUGAGUUUAUAUAUGAAAGAUAUGUUUCUUAAAACGGGCACAAACAAAUUUUUCUCCAAAAUUACUCAAGAUAACUAGGACUGUGGUUUGAUGAUAUACUCCACCCACUUUGAUGCUAUAUACAAAGGAAUCUAAGGACCCCAUUUUGAAAAGCAUUAUUCCAUUAAGCUCCCCAUUUUGACAAGCAUCAUUUCAUAAACCUCCCUUGUCAAUUUUUCUUUACACAAAAAGUUCUUAUGUGCAAUUAUUUAUUUCUAUCCCAAGUUUUGAACCAAUGAUUAAAGAGCUUAGUUGGUGGUGAAUGGAGCCACCUAAAUUGAAUGCGUUGGCAUUAUAAAGAGGGAAUAGUUUGAGGGGUUAAUGAUUAAAGAGCAAGUGAAGGAAUGCUCUUCGUGUAUGGGAGUCGCUGGUGGGGGCUCUUUUUCUUUCUUCUUUUCGAGUGUCCCCUGUGGCUUUGCUAUUUGCAUCCCCAAAAGCCAAUGACGAUUGACUGCUACCCACUUCUUACCACAAAAUAACAAGUAUUAUAUGAUUAUAUCUUGUUUAAUUAAUCUUACACUAAUUCAACAUCAUGCUUAUAUCAUACAACAUGAGUAAUGCUAUUCAUAUUAUGUUUUUAUACCACACUAGGUGGCAUCUGAUGUCAAUAGCCACAUCAUUUGAAAAAUUUGCAAAAUCCGAGGAAAUGAAGGAGAAAGACUUCUCUUAUACCACAAUCAUCAUUUAAUUAACUAGUUUUUCUUAAUUAUUAGUUUAUUAAAUAAUGAACUAAAUUUAAAAAUCUGAUCAAUUCAAAUAAUUUGGCUGUCCACAUCAAAUGCAAUCUAAGGUGGUAUGAAAAUGUGGUACAAAAACUUGGUAUGAAUAGCGUUACGACAAUUGUAGGUUUUAUGACGGUUUUUGUAGAAAUUUGUAAAACCGAUUAAAAACUGCAAGUUAGACACCCAUUAAACCCAUAACGUCCUCCAGAUAGCAAACGAACGAGGGGAGUUUAUAACAGAUGUUGCGAAGACUCGUUAUAGUAGUCAAGGACUAGAUGAAACUCCAAGCAGAUUGACUACCUCCAGACCUUAAAUCCUCAUCUUGAACAAAACCAGCACUUAAUUAAUAAGCAUAUUUAACAGUAAAGCAUCCAUUAGAAGAAGAACCCAAAUGCAGGAAUCACUUAUCGGGCAUAUCCCCUUUAACAUCAGUAGGGUUACUUGUUAGUCCGCCGUACGACAUCGGCACGAAGAACAUUCAAAAGCAUCACAAAUUUCUAUCGAACGCAAGUCAAGUAACUAGCCACAGUUUCAUAAUUUUCAUCUAAAAAGAUAGGCCUCUGAAACUGAUAAAUAAAAGUCCGAUCAUUAGGGGUUACAAUGGCUGAUAGUAAAGUUAUUUAUAUGCGAGUCCCCGAGUGUUUAUAACAAGUUGAAGCUCUUAUUUAACCCAUAAAGCCCCCUCCAGGCAUAUUAGGCCCUUGUGACGAAACCUGUCCCUGUGAAACUAAUUGCGACCGGCCUUGAACAUAAGCUUGAGUCAUCCCCGUCCCAACCAACUGUUGUUGUUGAUGCUGUUGAUGCUGUUGCUGCAAUUGCUGAAGCUGCGGCAGUUGCUGUUGUGAUUGAAGUUGUGAGAGCUGCUGCUGCGAGAGUUGCUGCUGUUGUUGAAUCUGAGGGUGCUGAUGUUGAAUCUGUGGAUGUUGUUGUUGAAUCUGAGGAUGCUGUUGUUGCUGACCGGGUACUUGCAUUUGUUGCUGCUGUUGCUGACCCGGUACUUGCAUUUGUUGCUGCUGUUGCUGACCGGGAACUUGCAUGUGUUGUUGCUGACCGCCUACUUGAAUUUGUUGCUGCUGUUGCUGACCAGGAACUUGCAUGUGUUGUUGCUGACCGCCUACUUGAAUUUGUUGCUGUUGUAGCUGUUGCAUUUGCUGCUGCUGCUGCUGCUGCUGCUGUUGCUGACCACCUACUUGUGGUUUAAACACAACCAUAUCCUGAACCGAUGGUAGAUUUAGCUUUAACAAAAACCAGGUUGUAAGAAGGUUACAAUGCCGAGCCACAAACUCAAUUUGGAGUACCACCACAGGCCUCCAUUUCAGAAAGAAGUUAAAACAGAAGUUGCAGGAUAUGCAGGGAACCUUCAGAACUAAAAGCACCUUAUACAGGCUAGAAAGGUCUUUAACGAUCCCCACAAAAUUUUCGCAAAAUAAAAGGUCCAUUUUCCAGGUUUCUUUUAGUAAUGAAGGUACCUCACAUAUUUGUUGUGGAUUUAGCUCAGAGUUGGUGGCUAUUACUUUAUAUUGGCAAAAAACUAAUAAUAAGGAAUUACAAUCCGCGGUAAUAAGAAUGGUCUAACUAAUAACAAGCUCACCCCUGGAAACAGCAUUCCAAUCAAGCGAUAUGCUUUGUCUGAAACAGAGAGCAGUAGUGUCUGAGAGGGCAAUUGGAUCACUGCACACUGAAAAAGUGGGAAAUCAGCUUUUUGAGAAGAAAAAAAAACAUAUCAGAAUAGUCCUCGGUUUCAUGUUCACAUUCAAAGGAAAACUAUUGCAGGUGGUCAAAUAAAAUAGAAGAACUAGCUUUUGAUGCUGAAGUCUCACAUGGAUGAUACCAGAAUCAAGAAUUACCCCACUUCAAGCCAAGAGAGCCAAUUAAAUGCAUAAAUUUAGUUUAUCACAGCAUUUAGAGGUUCUUGAGUUUAAACAGAUAAUUAACCAAGUUCAUAUGAGAAUGUCACACAGAAUCUAAGGAAGUACUCUGCCAUAUCAGAAUUUACAGAUAAUCAAGUGGUAAUCCAAGAUGCUUAGAUUAAUAUAUAUAACAGAAGACGAUGAUUAGGCAAGUGGGUAAGGACUUUUAAGGGAUAAAGUGGAAGCGGCAAGAAAUUGGAUAGCAAAUUAGCAAUGAGGACAAUUUUUGAGUCUCAAAGGAAAAAGUGGUAAGGUAAAAUAAAGAGAGUAGACAGCUUACAAGUUUCUUCUCUUGCAAUUGCCCAAGAAACCCAUGCUGAUUCAUUGCCCGAAAAACUAAAAAGUCUGCCUUUCCAACAUAUUGCCUGAAUUAUAAAUAUUGAUGAAGUCAAGAAAACUGAGGAAUAUAACAUCAGGAGGAAAAUAUUACACAGAAAAAUAAAGGAGGGAAUGUUUUCACUAAAUUGUAAUUACUUGUUAUUCAUGUGGUCCUGAGAUAUGAGCCUCACUAUUUGCAUUGUUGGUGGCCAGUUCGCCGCAAGCCUGAGGAGUGAAAUAAUGCACAUCAAUAAAUAAACGCCAAUGACACAUUUUACCAUAGUCUGAGAUUAAGAUUUUAUUGUACACUAAAGCACCAACCAAUUAAGGCCAACUAAAGAGUUCUGAUCAAAAUACAUUCAACCUCACGCCACUAUUCUUACAGCAUGUCAAGAUAUUAGGAUUCUAAGAAUGAAGGUAACUAAAUUUUUAUUUUAACCAAAGAAAAAGCCGUCUGCUUUGAUAAGUUAGAAAUAUUAAUAGUCAUAGACCUCUUUUUCUACAUAAAAGAAUUAAAGUUAAAAUAGAAACUUUAAACCAUUGAUUACAUUCCAUUAACAUCUAUUUGAAACAAAAAGAAGAAAGAGUACUCCCGACUUACGUCUCAGAAGCUGAAGCACUCCUGUAACCCUGACAAAAUUAGAAAGCAUUUGUGGAGUCAACAAAUAAUUAACUGCUAAAAUUGUAAAAGAUAACUAAGAGAAAUAUAAAUAAUCCCAUGUCGUUAGGCCCUAAACAUGCCUCAUGCUGUGGUUUAAUUCAGGAUGCUCACACCCUUAUGGUUAUCAAAUUGUCUAUAAAAAUAGAUGCUAUUGAUAGCACACUUGAAAUAACUAUUUAUGGAUUGUUCAGUGUUUUCGGCAAUUUUUGUUCUCUCUCCUCCUCCAACAAAUAUAUUAAAACUCAAACCAAAUGCAUAAUACUUUUGAAUUCAAAUCACUCUGAAGCACAAUCACAAGGAAACAUAGAGAACUUUUUUCAGAAAAAUUUAAGUUCGACAUAAAUAACUAUGGUUAUCCAUGACAGCACAUUGGGUUGAUUCAAUGGCAAUUUGGAAUUUCCCUCUCCGGUGAUAGUUUAUCAGUGGUGUUUUGGGUGAAGAGUAGUUUGUGGAUAUCAAAGAAAUGAUGGUCAGAUGGUUUACCAAUUUAUAUGGAAACAUACUGAAAAUCCUCAUGUGCCAAAGUCACACACAUGCUCCAUUUUUCUCUCAAAAAUAAUGAUUUUGUGCAAUGCAAGAAACCAGACGUAAGAGUAUCACAAAAUAAACCACAGUUUCCAUGUCAUCCAACAAGGCAACGGAGAACGAACCUCCAAUCUAGUGAUAAACACAGGCUGCCCUUGUCUCUGCCCAGAUAAAGCUCCCUGCAUGUAUUUUGAUCAUUCAAGUAUGAGUGAUUGCGGAAUACCACAGUAAAACAGGACCAACCAUCUUUAAAACUUUCGUGAUAUUCUAGCUUAAAAAAGUUACCACCAGAAGUUUGAAAAUCCAACCGUAUUUUUUUAAAAGACCUACCUCCCAGACUUUCACAUAUUUGGAUUGUGCAGAUGCCAGAGCACUUGAUGUCUGUUGUGAAAAUGGCACAUUAGAUGCUGAAUUAUUGUUUGCACCAAGUGACUGCAUCCCAGAUUGCACCUGUUGAGCCAUUCCUGGAGUAGGAAUCAUUGUACCAGUUCCAGAAGAGGCACCUGUUGAACCAAGGGCACUCAUCAUGUUUGGGUUCAUGCCAAUUCCACUUUGAACCAUUUGCGGUCCCGAGAGAUUUCCUUGGCUCAUACCAGGCACAGCUUGACCCAUACUAACACCACCUUGAAGGUUGCUCAUUGGUUGUGACAUCCCAAGGUUAUUGUUGCUCAUUGGUUGUGACAUCCCAAGGUUAUUGUUGCCAGAGACAUUAGAGGUACCUGAAGUGAAUGAAUUAAGACCUGGGUUCUGCGCAACCUGUGUAAGAGUGCCGGACCCGGAAGAUGAAAAUACAUUUUGAGCAGCACCAACUGAAGAUGCCAUUCCACUAGAUAUCAUGUUUGAUACAUGCAUGGCCAUAGGAUUUUGACCCAUAGUUGGGAGUCCCAUAGAAGUUCCUCCAGUUAAGGCUGCUGCGUUCAUCACGCGUGCUUGAGAGAUGUUAUUGAGGAUGCUACCUACAGGACGCGAGGGAUGUGUCACACCACUCACUACAGGUUUCAAAUCUGGCACAUUAUCAUUGUUUGUGGCCAUCUCUUGAGAAGCAGAAGAUGGUGAAGAAGUCUGCAAGCUCGGGACUCCUUGGGAAGGAGGACGGACAGAUGGAAUGUGUGCAAAAGAAGGUCCCAUGGAACUUACAGUGCUUGGCUCCUAAACAAAUCAUAUCAAAACUUUAUGACUAUACGUGUGCAAUUUAAAGCAGUAUACCAGACCAAAGUGAACAUCUCUUUCCUUUGCACAAAGCAUAAAAGUUCAAGAGUGCAUAAGAAAUCUUACAACUUUUACAGUAGCAGGAGGCACAUUUCCAACAGAAAUUGGUUGCCGAUUCAUUACAGGUCCAUUCACUAAUUUGAAAAACAGGAAAGAAAAAGAAAGGAUAAGUCAGCAAACAAGCAGGAUAAGCAAGAAUUAACCAUGAAAAAUUAUGAACAGCCUAGCCAUAACAAACUUAAGUGCUUAAUUCAAACAAGACAGCCUAUUAUACUAAGAUUUGUAAUUCAUUUAACCUUACUAUGUUUAUUUGAGGGGUAUGACAAGACAAUUACUCUUAUAAAAGAUAAAAUAGAAAUUGCGACUACACCUUAUUGAUACUGAAACAUUGAUAAUUUCAACAACAAAAAAGUCAAAUAGAUAAGUGAAACCGAAUCAUUAAGUACUUUCAUUAACAGAAAAAAAAAUGAACCAAAUAUUUUGCACUGGAAAAAGGGACAACAUAUUGACUGCAAAAC